AAAGCUAGCAGAUGAACUAUCUUGUCUUUGGCAAGAAAGUAUCUCUGUUAACACCGCUAAGUAUUUGAGGAAAAAGGCUCUCGCUACGGAAUCCAGUGAGCCGGAGGCACAUACCUGCACUUCUUUGCAAACCACAGACUGUGUCGAUUGUUCUGGCAGAAGUUCCCCUCAGGAACUUAAAAAAUUAAUGAGUGUUGGAGAGGAAACCACCGAAGGGGGUCGGGAAAACCCUAAGGCCGUAAAAACUCUUGAAAUUCCAAAUGAGGUCAAUGACCUACUUUUUCAAAAUUCAAAUUUGAAUUUGAAAGAAGUAGGCCACAGUACCCCCACUUUGGAAAAUCAGGAGAGUACUGUAGAUGAAACGGAGUUUUGUAAUUCUCUGCUUAUUAGCGCUCUGGAGGAAUCACUCACCUCCAACAACACUGAGAUGGAAGGGUUAAUUAAUUUUUUAAUUAAAAAGAUGCUUAAGUCUAGUGAUAAGGCUCGUAAACACUACACCGACGGGGUUGCCAGUGUCCUUGCCCUGCUUGUGCGUCCGAACUGCGAUGGUCGUAAUCCCCCUGCCCCUACUAACUGGCGUAAGCGCGUUCCGCCGCCUGUGAGAAAUCACAGGGAACGGAAGCGCCGUAACUACGCGUUAUUCCAAUCGCUCUUCAGGCGAGACCCGAAAAGAAUUGCGUCCCAUCUUAUCAAAAACCAGCCCCUUUGCAAUGUGAGCUGUCCUAUCGACGUCGCUGAGUCCGCUCUGCGACAGCGAUUAAGUCAGCGCCCCGGUAUUGAUGCAGCGCCCUUCAAAUCGAAACGCCCUCCCAACUGUGAAAAUAUUCUGUCCCCCAUUUCAGCAGACGAGGUUACGCUGCACCUCCAACUAAUGUCUGCAAAAACGUCGGCAGGCCUCGACGGAGUUCAGGUGUCACACCUUCGACAAUGUGAUCCGGUGUGCCUUGCGAAGGCCUUUAACUGUUUUCUUCUCGCAAGGUACAUCCCCCCACAACUCAAGGAUUGUCGCACCACUCUCAUUCCCAAAACCGACAAUCCCCGCCCCGANGCAAGGUUCCAUGUGAACAGCAGUUGGACAUGGGUCAGUCGAUCCUAAGAAAACGGCGAAAGCUUUUUCGAAUUUGCGACAUGAAUUGUAAGACUGUGAAUAAUUGUGUGCGUGUGUUUGCCAAUUAUUAAUUGUUGUGCGCAGUUGUCGUAUGUUUUCGAAAGGGAAUCCGGUUGAUAUUCCGGAACCGAGUAACGGAGACAAAGAGUAGCGCUUUAAUCUCUCUCUCUCUGUGGGGUUGGCGUUCAACUCAAUCGCGCGGUAACGCAAGCGAACUCGGAAAAUGACCGUCGUGAGUUUCGAAAAGAGUUUUCUUUUCUUUUUAAGGGACGCAUUCCCUGGAACCGGGUUGUCCGGAGAUAGGGAUUUUGGUAUCCAUAAAACGCCGACUUUUUCACGGUGUUCGGAGCGCUCUCGUCGGUACGUGAAAAUCCGAGCGACGCCUGGUAAAUCUCGUACUUGGUCGUACUGAUAUCCGCAGCAGGUCUCCAAGGUGAAUAGCCUCUGGCCGAUAGAAUAAUGUAGGUAAGGGAAGUCGGCAAAACGGAUCCGUAACUUCGGAACAAGGAUUGGCUCUAAGGGCUGGGCCGAUCGGGCUGAGGUUUCAAGCGUGCAGUGUAUGCUUGGCUUAGUUGUGUUGAGGACUUGUUCACUUGCCACCGUUUGUUCGGUUGGUCGAGUGUAUUCGAGUCUGAAGCAGAGCUGGCCGUCAGACCGGCACGUGUAGAACCUGAGCUGCGCGGCUGUCCGUUUUCGUGUACAGACCGUUUCGGUCGGCAUUCAACAGCCAACUUAGAACUGGCACGGACACAAGGAAUCUGACUGUAUAAUUAAAACAAAGCAUUGCGAUGGCCGAUGAUCGGUGAUGACGCAAUGUGAUUUCUGCCCAGUGCUCUGAAUGUCAAAGUGAAGAAAUUCAAUCAAGCGCGGGUAAACGGCGGGAGUAACUAUGACUCUCUUAAGGUAGCCAAAUGCCUCGUCAUCUAAUUAGUGACGCGUAUGAAUGGAUCAACAAGAUUCCUUCUGUCCCUAUCUACUAUCUAGCGAAACCACAGCCAAGGGAACGGGCUUGGCAAAAUCAGCGGGGAAAGAAGACCCUGUUGAGCUUGACUCUAGUCUGACUCUGUGAAGAGACAUGAAAGGUGUAGCAUAGGUGGGAGAUUGUCCCCUCUCCUCUUCAACUCAGUCAUGGACGAGUUGAUAGAGCGCCUCGAACAAAGUGGAGUGGGUUAUAAAAUCAAUAACACUGAGGUCGUAACACUGGCUUUCGCGGACAACGUAAC
Molecule: ribosomal RNA, 2331 nt
Filed under: Trichinella nelsoni
Lineage: Eukaryota; Metazoa; Nematoda; Enoplea; Trichinellida; Trichinellidae
Description: eukaryotic LSU rRNA
Rfam family: Eukaryotic large subunit ribosomal RNA
Source: RNAcentral